Molecule: ribosomal RNA, 253 nt
Filed under: uncultured bacterium
Lineage: Bacteria
Description: partial 16S ribosomal RNA
Rfam family: Bacterial small subunit ribosomal RNA
Source: RNAcentral
UACGGAGGGUGCGAGCGUUGUCCGGAAUCACUGGGCGUAAAGGGCGCGUAGGCGGCCUGAUAAGUAGGGGGUGAAAUCCUGCGGCUUAACCGCAGGGCUGCCUUCUAAACUGUCAGGCUAGAGCACAGUAGAGGCAGGUGGAAUUCCCGGUGUAGCGGUGAAAUGCGUAGAGAUCCGGAGGAACACCAGAGGCGAAGGCGGCCUGCUGGGCUGCACCUGACGCUGAGCCGCGAAAGCCAGGGGAGCGAACGGG